AUGGGUAUUGGCCUCAAACCAUUAGAAUUCACGGAUUGCUUAACCGAUAGCCCUUAUUUUCGAGAAAAUCUUCAUUAUCAUGAACGUGAAUUGGAGAAAACUAGCCAACAAAUUAAACGACUUAUUAAAGAGGUCAAAGAUCUUUUAAUAGCUGCCAAAAAAUUGUCCAGAGCUCAAAGAGCAUUUUCAAAAACAUUGCAAAAUUUUAGUUUUGAAUGUAUAGGAGAAACUCAAACUGAAGAUGAAACUCACAUAUCACAAAGCCUUAAAGAGUUUGGUAAACUUAUUGCAUCAAUAGAAGAUGAAAGGGAUCGCAUGCUUGAACGUGCUUAUGAUCAAAUUAUACUUCCUUUGGAAAAUUUUAGGAAAGAACAUAUUGGAGGUGUUAAGGACGGGAAAAAAAAGUUUGAAAAGCAAACAAUUAAAUUUUGUCAAAGUCAAGAACGUUAUUUAAAUUUGUCUACAAAAAAACAAGACAAUGUUCUUCAAGAGGCCGAUGCAACAUUGGAAAUGGCUGAGAGACAUUUUUGCCAAGCUAGUUUAGAAUAUGUAUUUUUGCUUCAAGAAGUACAAGAACGUAAAAAAUUUGAAUUUGUUGAAACUUUAUUAGGUUUUAUGUUUGGUUGGUUAACUUUUUAUCAUCAAGGACAUGAAGUUGCAAAAGAUUUCAAACCUUAUAUGACUGAAUUACAAUUAAAGAUACAGAAGACUAGAGAAAAUUUCCUUGCUACCCGGGAUAAAACAGAAUCACUUAUGAAUAAAAUGAAGGAUAUGAAAAAGUCUGCUGUAGAAACUGGAGUCAAUAAAUUGUAUACACGUGAAGGUUAUUUGUUUCUAAUGGAAAAAAAAGCAUUUGGUACAACAUGGACAAAACAUUAUUGUACUUAUCAAAAAGACAAAAAGGAAUUUAUAAUGAUACCUUAUAAUCAACUUACAGGAAAGUUUAGUAGUAAAGAAGUAUUAACAUUAGCAUCUUGUGUGCGUCGUAUGUCAGAUACAAUUGAGAAACGAUUUUGUUUCGAUAUCACUACUGUUGAUAAGCAUAAUGUAGUAUACACAUUCCAAGCACUUUCUGAAGAAGAUAGAAAGCUAUGGCUUGAUGCCAUGGAUGGUAAAGAACCAAAUUAUCCUAUAGUAAGUACAUCGACGAAAUCUGAAGAAACUAUUUUAGAUGAAACAGGUUUUAUGUUUGUAUCAAAAUGCAUUGCAAUACUCGAGGAAAGAGGCCUUGAAGUGCAAGGUUUAUAUAGAGUUGUUGGUGUUGCUUCCAAAGUAAAUAAACUUUUAGCAAUGGGAUUAGAUAGAAGGAAACUAGAAAAACUUAAUCUGGAUAAUCGUUUUGAAUGGGAAAGUAAAACUAUUACUAGUGCAUUAAAAACAUAUUUAAGGACGCUAUCUGAACCGUUAAUGACUUUCCGAUAUUAUAAUAGUUUUAUUUCAGCUGCGAAACAAGAAAUCAAAGAAGCACGUAUCAAUGAUAUUCAUAAUCUUGUUUAUCGGCUUCCAAAAGCAAAUUUUAAUAUGUUAGUUCUACUUAUUAAACAUUUAUAUAGUGUGGCAAAGAAAAGUGAUAAAAAUUUAAUGACUAUUGGAAAUUUGGCUGUAUGUUUUGGCCCAUCUUUAUUGCGACCAGAAGAAGAAACAGUAGCUUCUAUAAUGGAUAUUAAAUUUUACAAUAUUGUAGUUGAAAUUUUAAUUGAAAAUUGUGAAAGAAUAGUUGCUGGUCCACCACAGGAUACUGUAUGUAAUAUAUCAUCAACACAAAAUGCUAUUUCCUCUAGAUCACGCACAGAAGAUGCAUCAACAUCUUGUGGUAAUGGUACUCCUUUUUUAAGGUACCCAGUACAUUCUAAUAUAUCUUCACCACAUGGUCAUCUUGUUACGAGAUCAUAUUAUGAUAGUCCAUUAACAUCUAUUGAUGAUCUAAAACUUGGAGAUUAUGAAGAAACAGAGCACAUGAAUCACAGAAUGUUAACAUAUUUAAAUAAUCGAAGUGGACGAGUUAAAUUAACUAAUGCGAAUCUUAUGUAUUCUGCAGAUAAAGUAUUAACCAGUGGUAAUACAAGUAGUUCAAGUGAAUCAAUUGCUUCUGAUCCGCAUUCAUUUUCAUCUGAUUUACCAGUAAAACAAAAACGUAGUUCUAUGAUGUCAGUUCAUUAUCCAUCAAGUUAUGCUCAACGAAGCAAUCCAUCAGUAUCUGUAGUUAAUACCUCACCUACUAGUGGACGUUCAAGCCCUGGACAAGUACCUGGUAUUUGGUAAACAUAAAAUUCUUGUCAAACAUCAUUAUGUAAUUCAUUAUGAGAGUUCGCACUUUGUAUGCUUGUGUAGCUGAAAGCGAUGGAGAAUUAUCAUUUGAACCAAAUCAAAUUAUUACUAAUGUAAAGGCCUCUUUGGAACCAGGAUGGUUAGAAGGGACAUUAAAUGGUAAAACAGGAUUAGUCCCAAAGAAUUAUGUAGAACAAUUGCCUUGAAUUUCGAAAAACCAAAGAGUGCCUAUAUUGUUUUUAUAUUUCAUAAAUUGUAGAAUGUAUUUAGUAUUAUUGUUUAUUGGAACAUAUGUUCGCGAAAAUAAGAAUUGCUGCAAUGAUGUAUGGAACAUGAUGUUUUCUAUUUAAAUUUUUUUGGGUACAAUUUACAUAGUCAAUUACAUACAUACAUGCGUGCGCAUAGGCGCACAUACACGUAAAAAUAUAUAUCUUAUUUAUUAGGAGCCUUUUUGCUCAAAAACGUUUAUAGUGUAUAUAAUCACUUGUAGAAAAAUUUAUAUAUAUCUACAUAUAUAGUGCUAAUAUAUUACUUAAUAUUUAAAUAUAUUUGUACUAAAAGAUAUUGAUUCAAUAUAUAGCUUUUAGGAAAUCUUAUAGGCAAUAAUAUUUGUUUAUAAUACGAUAAUCUUUACGCGUACGUGCACAUGUAUGUGUACACACAUAUAAUUAUCAGAAUGUGAUAAAAUAAAUAAAUACCAAAUACCAUCAGAAUUUUUAAUAAAGAUUUUAAUAAUAUGAA
RNAcentral lists this unclassified non-coding RNA (3009 nucleotides) under Apis dorsata (giant honeybee). RNAcentral describes it as "rho GTPase-activating protein 26, transcript variant X6". The record is from RNAcentral. Lineage: Eukaryota; Metazoa; Arthropoda; Insecta; Hymenoptera; Apidae.